RNAcentral lists this ribosomal RNA (366 nucleotides) under uncultured bacterium. RNAcentral's name for it is "bacterial SSU rRNA". It matches the Rfam family "Bacterial small subunit ribosomal RNA", at positions 29 to 412 of the family's 1533-position model. The record is from RNAcentral.
AAUGAACGUUGGCGGCGUGGAUUAGGCAUGCAAGUCGAGCGAGAACCCAGCAAUGGGGGACAGCGGCGAAAGGGACAGUAAUGUGUAGAUUAUCUGCCCUCGGGUCCGGGAUAGCUGCGGGAAACUGCAGGUAAUACCGGAUAACAUCUCCGGAUCAAAGGUGUGAUUCCGCCCGAGGAUGAGUCUGCAUCCUAUUAGCUUGUUGGUGGGGUAAUGGCCUACCAAGGCUUUGAUGGGUAGCGGGUGUGAGAGCACGACCCGCGUCAUUGGGACUGAGACACUGCCCAGACACCUACGGGUGGCUGCAGUCGAGAAUCUUCGGCAAUGGGCGCAAGCCUGACCGAGCGACGCCGCGUGUGGGAUGAA